UCAUGGCUCAGGAUGAACGCUAGCGACAGGCUUAACACAUGCAAGUCGAGGGGCAUCACGGGAGUAGCAAUACAACUGGUGGCGACCGGCGCACGGGUGAGUAACGCGUAUGCAACCUACCUAUCAGAGGGGAAUAACCCGGCGAAAGUCGGACUAAUACCGCAUAAAACAGGGGCACCGCAUGGUGAUAUUUGUUAAAGAAAUUCGCUGAUAGAUGGGCAUGCGUUCCAUUAGGUAGUUGGUGAGGUAACGGCUCACCAAGCCGACGAUGGAUAGGGGAACUGAGAGGUUGGUCCCCCACACUGGUACUGAGACACGGACCAGACUCCUACGGGAGGCAGCAGUGAGGAAUAUUGGUCAAUGGGCGGGAGCCUGAACCAGCCAAGUCCGCGUGAAGGAAGAAGGAUCUAUGGUUCGUAAACUUCUUUUGCAGGGGAGUAAAGUGCAGGACGUGUCCUGUUUUGUAUGUACCCUGAGAAUAAGGAUCGGCUAACUCCGUGCCAGCCGCCGC
RNAcentral lists this ribosomal RNA (511 nucleotides) under uncultured bacterium. RNAcentral's name for it is "bacterial SSU rRNA". It matches the Rfam family "Bacterial small subunit ribosomal RNA", at positions 17 to 518 of the family's 1533-position model. The record is from RNAcentral.